AAAGCGUUCAGAUCACUUGUUGAAAAAGAAACAAAGACAAAGAUAAAAACGCUCCGUACAGACAGGGGAGGUGAGUUUACCUCCCACGAGUUUCAAGCGUACUGUGAUAAGAAUGGGAUUAGUAGACACUUAACGGCUCCCUACUCGCCUCAGCAAAACGGAGUCGUGGAGCGACGUAACCGCACAUUGUUGGAGAUGACAAGAAGCUUACUAAAACACAUGAACAUGCCAAGCUUGAGGUAAGCUUGAGGAGCAAGUAACCUAUUUCCUAUUUGGUUUAUGAUCCACUUGAGAUAAGGAUCAUAAUAUGAUUUAUGUUUAUCUAUUAGGAAUAGGAAAUAUGAGUUAUAUAUAUAGCAAUGUCGAAUGAGACAGAUAGCUACGAUAAUUGUGAUUGAGCUUGUGAGUUGUGAUAUUAAGCUUUGAGGUGAUUGAAUAAAGAAAAGGGACUUCCCGUUGUGAUUUACUGUGUUGCUAGCUUGAUCUUCUGUUUCUAUAAAUAAUUCUUCUCAUAUCAUAUUAAACAAAGCAAACAAUUUAUAAAAACCUAUUAAAAAUUACAAUGUAUCAAAAAAAAUUAUAAAAGAUUAUGACCAAAAAGAUAAAUUAAAAUUAAUUUAUUUCAAUAAUAGAUAACACUUAAUUACUUAUUUUAUGUCAAUUUGUUACAUUUGAGACUAAAUCCGUGUUAAUACACAUACCUAGAUCUAGAUCCGAACCGAACCUAAAUUUUUUGGUCGGUUCUGGUUUAGGUAAAAUGGCCAAAGACCACAUGCCACGUAAAGACAUUAAAGAAACACCGAAGUAAAAGCUAGGCUACAUCAAAAAUGGUCUUGUACUCUUGUGACGAAGUGAGUAACUCAAAGGCCCAAGGAUGGAUGAAUGAUCUCAAAACCAUCAAACAAGAAAGAUAAAGAUAUUUAGGCAGUCUUGGGUAUUUUGACAGUGAUUCUAAUAUGUUUAAAGGGUAAUAUGGGUAUUUGACUAAUUCAGACUCUUGCCCAAGUAAGUUUACCAAGAAUGGUCAUCAAGAAUGCUUAGAAGUGUUGACGACCGUAAAACCCAUCGAAGCUUAGCAGAGGAAUCUCCCUUUCUCUCUACUGUCGAAUUGUUUCUUGUAGCCAUAAGUUUAGUUAGCUAACUCGUGUGAGAGAAGAGCGCAAUGAGCUGCUUUAGUUGGUGCGGGAGUAACUCCAGACCAAUGCAACCGCACAACCCAGCAGGUAGAUCUGGUUCUUGAUCUCAUCAUUGCUUGUCACUAUCAAAGAGAUGAUCAGUCAGUAGUUCAGACGCAGAGUAUUGCUGUACCAGCCAUUCCAGUGGAUGAACUGAGAGAUAUAACCGAUAACUUUGGUUCAAAGGCUUUGAUCGGUGAGGGUUCAUAUGGAAGAGUGUUUUACGGUGUUCUUAAAAGCGGCCAGGCGGCUGCCAUCAAGAAAAUUGACCCUAGUAAGAAGCUAGAUCAAGAACUUAUGUCCCAGAUGUCAACGGUUUCGAGAUUGCGACACGACAAUGUCAUUCCACUUGUGUGUUAUUGUGUUUGAUGGCCCUCUUCGUGUUCUUGCUUAUGAGUAUGCUCCUAAUGGAUCUCUUCAUGAUAUUCUUCACGGCCGAAAAGGUGUGGCAGGAGCACUGACUAGGAGCCGAAAAGGUGUGGCAGGUCCCAGGUAUAUGCUACAAAGCACCCUAACGUGGCAACAGAGAGUCAACAUGGUAUAAAAUAUUUGGAGUAUUGACCAGAAAGAGCGAGGUGUACAGUUUUGGCGUUGUUCUGCUGGAGCUCCUUACAGGUCGUAAACCAGUUGAUCAUACCUUACCGCAUGGACAACAAAGUCUAGUGAGAUGGGCAAUUCCUAAACUAAGCAAAGACAAAGUGAAGGAAUGCGUUGAUGCAAGACUACUCGGAGAGUACCCUCACAAAGCUGUAACCAAGCUAGCUGUGUUGGCUGCAAUAUGCGUGAAAGAUGAGGCAAAGUUAAGACCAGACAUGAGCAAUGUGGUGAAGGCCCUUCAGACUGUUCAAGUCUACACUUUUCUAUCAGCGUUUUAACUUUAUAAUGUUCUUACUUAUAUUUUGUGUUUUAUGCUUAUUAUCAUCUUUUAUCCCACUAAUUCUCUUCCAUACAUGAUUUAAACGAUGUAUGCGUCUAUCAUUCUAUAUCUCUCAUAUUUUUUUAUGCUUUUCACGUUUGUAAUAGUUUUACUCUUUUCCUAUUAUUCUCUGUUUUUUCCAUUGUAAAAAUAUCAUUUUGCUUAUGGUUAGUGUGUUAUUUUGGUGUUUUGCAAAUCAAAUCAAAGCAUUU
Long non-coding RNA from Brassica napus (rape), 2303 nucleotides. RefSeq lists it as uncharacterized. The record is from RefSeq and is a predicted model, not a curated record. The transcript is spliced from 7 exons. Lineage: Eukaryota; Viridiplantae; Streptophyta; Magnoliopsida; Brassicales; Brassicaceae.